RNAcentral lists this transfer RNA (63 nucleotides) under Rattus norvegicus (Norway rat). It matches the Rfam family "tRNA", at positions 1 to 62 of the family's 71-position model. Rfam says of the family: Transfer RNA (tRNA) molecules are approximately 80 nucleotides in length. Their secondary structure includes four short double-helical elements and three loops (D, anti-codon, and T loops). The record is from Rfam by way of RNAcentral. Lineage: Eukaryota; Metazoa; Chordata; Mammalia; Rodentia; Muridae.
GGGGAUUUAGCUCAGUGGUAGAGCACUUGCCUAGCAAGCGCAAGGCCCUGGGUUCAGUUCCCA